GCCGGGGUAGCUCAGCCUGGUUAGAGUGCCAGACUCAUAAUCUGGAGGUCGCGGGUUCGAAACCCGCCCCCGGUA
This 75-nucleotide transfer RNA is filed under the name Candidatus Nitrosopumilus sp. Its description in RNAcentral is "tRNA-Met". It matches the Rfam family "tRNA". Rfam says of the family: Transfer RNA (tRNA) molecules are approximately 80 nucleotides in length. Their secondary structure includes four short double-helical elements and three loops (D, anti-codon, and T loops). The record is from RNAcentral. Lineage: Archaea; Thermoproteati; Nitrososphaerota; Nitrososphaeria; Nitrosopumilales; Nitrosopumilaceae. RNAcentral also lists the same sequence under 1 other name.